GCCGCUAUCAAUCGGUUUUCUCUCUUCUCCUCCAUUCUUCAUCUUUUGUUUGUUGUUUUCUACAUGGUAUCAGAGCGGGUUUGAUUUUGGGUUAACACUAGCAAACUUCCGUUCUCCGACAAGAGGCCUCGUGCCGCUCAUCUGGUGGUCAAAAUUUUUUUUCUCUGGUUUAAUUAUUUUCUUUACGUUUCUACACAUAUUUCUCAUUCCCAAUCUCCUCUGCAACCAAAAAAAAAAAAAUCUUAGUUUGCUAUUGUCAAUUUCAAAUCUCCUUUUGUGUUAAACUGAUGGAGCCUUCUUUUGUUCGGCAAAUGGGUCAAACCCUUCUUAGUACUAUCUAGAAUAAAUACGCCUCAAUUUCACCGGUGCUUUCUGUGAGAAUUGGAGGUCCAUUUGUUUGUUAAUUUAGGUUAUUCGAAAAGGCUGGAAAUUAAGUAGCCG
RNAcentral lists this long non-coding RNA (441 nucleotides) under Olea europaea subsp. europaea. Lineage: Eukaryota; Viridiplantae; Streptophyta; Magnoliopsida; Lamiales; Oleaceae. The record is from RNAcentral.